AUUGAACGCUGGCGGCAUGCCUAACACAUGCAAGUCGAACGGCAGCACGGUUAAGUACUUGUACUUAAUGGGUGGCGAGUGGCGAACGGGUGAGUAAUGCGCAGGAAUAUGCCCUAAAGAGGGGGAUAACUUGGGGAAACUCAAGCUAAUACCGCAUAAGCUCUGAGGAGUAAAGCUGGGGACCUUGGGGCAUGGCGCUGUAAGAAUAGCCUGCGUCCGAUUAGCUAGUUGGUAGGGUAAAGGCCUACCAAGGCGACGAUCGGUAGCUGGUCUGAGAUGAUGAACAGCCACACUGGGACUGAGACACGGCCCAGACUCCUACGGGAGGCAGCAGUGGGGAAUAUUGGACAAUGGGGGCAACCCUGAUCCAGCAAUGCCGCGUGUGUGAAGAAGGCCUGAGGGUUGUAAAGCACUUUCAGUGGGGAGGAGGAUUGAUUGGUUAAGAGCUGAUUAAUUGGACGUUACCUACAGAAGAAGCACCGGCUAACUCCGUGCCAGCCGCCGCAGUAA
Molecule: ribosomal RNA, 510 nt
Filed under: uncultured bacterium
Lineage: Bacteria
Description: partial 16S ribosomal RNA
Rfam family: Bacterial small subunit ribosomal RNA
Source: RNAcentral